CUUUUUUUUCUAUCUGUCCAACUCUUCUGUCUAUCCUGUGCUGCUUUGAGUCUUUUCUUGAUCAGAUAGAUUUUCUCUCUAGCAUCCAUUUAUUAUCAGUAAAAUCUUUCCUUAUUUACAACUAACGUAUUUCAUAAUAUCUUUUGAUUUAAAGGAUUAAUAUUUCUAAUCAAUUCAGACCAUCACGCUUUUGCUGCGCACUCUGAUCUCAACUUACCAAAUUAUCUAAGUCUAUCAAAAAUAAAAAUAUCUUUGUAUAUUAAAUCAAUCAAAGAUAGAUCCAACUUUCAGAUUGCAUAUACAAUUUAGGAUAAAAUUUAAGAUUUCUUUGUCAUUACUAUCUCUUAAGCAUAGCACAUCAAAAUUAAAUCUUCAUCCACCUUCUAUGUUUGAACUUAUUACAUAAACUUCACCACUCCUCAAGAAUCCAAUAUGUCUAGAAUUAAUUUGAGUUAACCUUCGAUUUACCUUACAAUCAUUUAAACAACUUUCAAACCAACUUUUUUUUACAAAAAAAUUAACAUCAAAAUCAGCAAAGUUAUCAUGUCCUUUAUCCAUAUAGGUUUAGCAUUCCAAUAUCAUCAAAUAUACCUAACAUAAUAUAUCAAUACCUCCCACUUCAUUCUAGGGUCAACACUUCUCGUACUCAGGUCAACCUUGCUAAUUGAAAUCUAAGACAUAACUCGUCAAUUCUAUUAUAGACAUCAUAUGUCACUUAUGCAUAAAUUUCAUUAUAAUACCUAUUGAUUCGAAAUCAAAUUAUUGAAUCCUUUCUUUUAUAUCUAUCAUGUUCCUCAUGAUCUUAGCCUCAAGUUUAAAUAUCACUAAAAUCACAA
This 836-nucleotide long non-coding RNA is filed under the name Elaeis guineensis (African oil palm). RNAcentral describes it as "long non-coding RNA (EGUI_LNC081305)". The record is from RNAcentral. Lineage: Eukaryota; Viridiplantae; Streptophyta; Magnoliopsida; Arecales; Arecaceae.